This 253-nucleotide ribosomal RNA is filed under the name uncultured bacterium. RNAcentral's name for it is "partial 16S ribosomal RNA". It matches the Rfam family "Bacterial small subunit ribosomal RNA", at positions 524 to 776 of the family's 1533-position model. The record is from RNAcentral.
UACGUAGGGUGCGAGCGUUAAUCGGAAUUACUGGGCGUAAAGCGUGCGCAGGCGGUUGGUUAAGUCUGAUGUGAAAGCCCCGGGCUCAACUUGGGAAUGGCAUUGGAAACUGGCCAGCUGGAGUGUGGCAGAGGGGGGUGGAAUUCCGCGUGUAGCAGUGAAAUGCGUAGAGAUGCGGAGGAACACCGAUGGCGAAGGCAGCCCCCUGGGCCAACACUGACGCUCAGGCACGAAAGCGUGGGGAGCAAACAGG